RNAcentral lists this ribosomal RNA (482 nucleotides) under uncultured bacterium. RNAcentral describes it as "partial 16S ribosomal RNA". It matches the Rfam family "Bacterial small subunit ribosomal RNA", at positions 28 to 507 of the family's 1533-position model. The record is from RNAcentral.
GACGAACGCUGGCGGCGUGCUUAACACAUGCAAGUCGAACGCUGAAGCUCAGCUUGCUGGGUGGAUGAGUGGCGAACGGGUGAGUAACACGUGAGUAACCUGCCCUCUUCUUUGGGAUAACGCCCGGAAACGGGUGCUAAUACUGGAUAUUCACUGAUUCUCGCAUGGGGGUUGGUGGAAAGGUUUUUUCUGGUGGGGGAUGGGCUCGCGGCCUAUCAGCUUGUUGGUGGGGUGAUGGCCUACCAAGGCUUUGACGGGUAGCCGGCCUGAGAGGGUGACCGGGCACAUUGGGACUGAGAUACGGCCCAGACUCCUACGGGAGGCAGCAGUGGGGAAUAUUGCACAAUGGGCGAAAGCCUGAUGCAGCGACGCCGCGUGAGGGAUGGAGGCCUUCGGGUUGUAAACCUCUUUCGCUCAUGGUCAAGCCGCAGCGUGGGGUUGUGGUGAGGGUAGUGGGUAAAGAAGCGCCGGCUAACUACGUG